This 493-nucleotide ribosomal RNA is filed under the name uncultured bacterium. Its description in RNAcentral is "partial 16S ribosomal RNA". It matches the Rfam family "Bacterial small subunit ribosomal RNA", at positions 29 to 523 of the family's 1533-position model. The record is from RNAcentral.
AUUGAACGCUGGCGGCAUGCUUUACACAUGCAAGUCGAACGGUAACAGGUUAAGCUGACGAGUGGCGAACGGGUGAGUAAUGCAUCGGAACGUGCCCGGUCGUGGGGGAUAACGCAGCGAAAGCUGCGCUAAUACCGCAUACGAUCUGAGGAUGAAAGCGGGGGACCGUAAGGCCUCGCGCGAUCGGAGCGGCCGAUGUCAGAUUAGGUAGUUGGUGGGGUAAAGGCUCACCAAGCCAACGAUCUGUAGCUGGUCUGAGAGGACGACCGGCCACACUGGGACUGAGACACGGCCCAGACUCCUACGGGAGGAAGCAGUGGGGGAUUUUGGACAAUGGGCGAAAGCCUGAUUCAGCAAUGCCGCGUGCAGGAAGAAGGCCUUCGGGUUGUAAACUGCUUUUGUACGGAGCGAAAAGGUCUCCUCUAAUACAGGGGGCUCAUGACGGUACCGUAAGAAUAAGCACCGGCUAACUACGUGCCAGCAGCCGCCGUAA